Lolium perenne is the source of this 1685-nucleotide RNA transcript. It is a transcript of the gene named glutathione S-transferase T1, with no coding region annotated. The record is from RefSeq and is a predicted model, not a curated record. NCBI's taxonomy places the organism in Eukaryota, Viridiplantae, Streptophyta, Magnoliopsida, Poales, Poaceae.
CGUCAGGUCAUGACGUCACGCCUUACGUAAAGUGUGAGGAGGAGAAUGUCUCCCCUCCUCUCCGCUCUCUGGCAGUCGACAAGCUUAGCUAGUCGAUCGAUCUUCGGAGUAGGAGGAGGCCGGCAGCCAUGGCGGCGAUGCUCAAGGUCUACGCCGACCGCCUCUCGCAGCCCUCCCGUGCCCUAAUCAUCUUCUGCAGGGUGAACAAGCUCGAUUUCGAGGAGGUGACCGUCAAUCUGGGCAAGGGCCAGCACCGCACCCCAGAGUUCAAUAAAAUCAACCCAAUGGGUCAAGUCCCGGUGAUUGUUGAUGGAAGAUUCAGACUCUUCGAAAGCCAUGCUAUCUUGAGGUAUCUUGCGACGGUCUUCCCUGGAGUUCCAGAUCACUGGUAUCCUGUGGACUUGUUUACUAGAGCAAAAAUCGAGUCCAUCUUGGAUUGGCAUCACUCAAAUUUACGCCGUGGUGCAGCAACCUUUGUACUGCACACUGUAUUGGGUCCUUCUCUUGGUAUGACACCAAAUCCCAAGGCUGCAAAAGAGGGUGAAAACCUGCUGGUGAGGUCACUGAAAACAAUUGAAUCUGUAUGGCUCAAAGGUGACACAAAAUUCUUUUUUCGAGAAAACGCAAUGACAUUGCGUUUCUUUUCAUUGCAAAGGAGAAGAAUAGUUUGUUACAAGAUCACACCUCCAUGGAGGGUGAAAAACAACCGGCAACUAACUGAAAAACUAGUGCACAUCCCAGUCUACAGGUAACACGGCGCGAAGGCCAAGGGCUCCAGCUCUCGCCCAAAGUGCCGCCUCUGCCUUGAUCUUGUCAUUCACUCUCUGGAUGGACGGCUGCUCUCCAUCGAAGACACAUGAGUUUCGGUGCUUCCAAAUCAACCAGGGCACAAGAAGCGUGGCGGUUGCAAGGCCUUUUCGCAUUGGCUUGGGUGUGUGCUGCCUUGCAGUAAUCCACCAUUCGUGGAGGGUAGGCUCGCUGUCAGGAGGUCGACAAGGAAGCCGUAGCCAGGACAGUGUGUCGUACCAAACCUGCCUAGAGAAGGGGCAAGCCAAGGUGAGGUGAUGCAUGGACUCGGCCUCUUGGUCGCAUAGCAGGCACCGAGGAUGGUGCUGCAGCCCUCGCCGUCGUAGCCGCUCCGCCGUCCAGCACCGGUCUUUGUUAGCCAACCAAUGGAAGAAUUUGACGCGCGGAGGCGCCCAAGUUUUCCACAGCAGCUUCCAGGCCGGGCAAGCCCUGGACCCCUGGAAUGUGCUCCGGUAGCAGGACUUUGCCGAGUAAACGCCAUUUGCACUCCAUCUCCAGACGAUCUGAUCAGGCUGGUCUGUGAGGACAGUCGCCUCCACCCGUGUCCAGAGCAUAAGGUACUGGCCCAGCUCUUGGAGUCCAAGCACGCCGUGGAUGUCACGCGCCCAGCUGUGGUCGAGCAGCCCAUCUCUGAUGGAGGUUGCCUUCCGACGUCUCUUAGGGAUACAUGCGUAUAGCUCAGGGGCGAUUUGACUGACAGAGCGACCGGCGAUCCAUCUGUCUUCCCAGAAUCUGCCGAGGUGUCCGUCGCCAACGAUCAUGUGCGUCGAGGCAAAGAACAGGCUCUGAAUGGCAACCCCCAGCCAUCAAUCGCGGACCUCAGCCUAGUGUGCGAGAUAAUGCAGCUGGAGCUGGUGGGUGAUGAGAGGCGUGACAGU